Molecule: non-coding RNA, 1768 nt
Organism: Ictidomys tridecemlineatus (thirteen-lined ground squirrel)
Lineage: Eukaryota; Metazoa; Chordata; Mammalia; Rodentia; Sciuridae
Source: RefSeq, a predicted model, not a curated record
ACAUGCACAGUGACAAUUCCCCCCUCCUCUGCCUUUUUGUUCCUUCCAGGUCUCAGCUGACCGGUCAGGGCCCAUCCUCACCGACAGGCACAUAUCUACCCCGUGCACUGACUCACACGCCAAUCUCUUCUAGAAACCUUCAGAGACACACCCAGAGAGAACGGUCUACCAACCAUCUGAACGUCCCUUAGUCCAGUGAAGGUGACACUAGAAUUAUCCAGGACAGAGUGUGUCUGAAUCUUGGAAGGGUUGGUUGCCGCCUUUGGAGCCCAGGGAGGCCACAGUGGACUGCCGAGUGUUGAGUCACCGGGACAAGGUGGCUCUUCUGGGGAGAGAGCUGCCGUAGGAGCAGUGCGUCACAGAACUGGUAAUUCGCUGGAAACGUGCAUCAUCCCAGUGCUUGUCCUCGACGCAGUGCCUCCCUCCAGCGAGCAUCAGAAGCCUGGGUGCAAACUUUGCAAUUUGAUAUGCAGAAUAUCAGGAGAAGGUGCGUCAAAGGUCAAGGUCUAACACCACUCAUGACUUCAUUGUGUCCCUAAGGCCUUCUUAAGGGAAGCGGGCCACUUCACUUCUUGUCCUGAGCGUAGGGUGGUGAAGAACGCUGGUGAGGGACAGGGGACGUUCUGCACAGCUGCCCAGGAGGGGUGUCAUCAGGUGUGCACCCCCAGGGGAGAGCAGUAUUGUGAAAUGGUCUCACCCAUGCAGCCCCUGGAAGCAUUGGGGACACCGAGGGUUAUGGACCACACUUUGAAAACCGUCGAAAUAAAGGAGGCUGCAUGGGUGACUGUGCCUCUGGAACUAUCCAGACUUCAGGGCAGUCUGUGACAGAGACAGGGGUCAGCAGGCCUGAGCUCUCAUGCUCGCCGCCGCCUGUUCCGGGCGGGUUGCACCUGCUUGCUUGCUCUUUUCUUUUUGCAGAGCUCGGAAUUGAACCCGGGCCUCACAGAGCCAGGCAAGUGCCCUCCACGGAGUUGCCCCCCAGCCCUCGAUCCUGCUUCCUGAGAGGAAUGAAAACAGCACUGUGUUGCUUCACUCCUACCAACGUGCCCACGCGGUCAACUCUGCACAGCCUGCACAGCGGGGUGACACUCGGAAAGCAGGAUCACAGGCCAGGACACCACUGUGGGAUUGUGCUGAUGACCAUGAUAUGCAUUCCAGCGGUGACCAUGGGGUCUAAAGAAGCGAGCUGGGCAUAGGGGAUCCACUGGCCAGUGCACCCACCCGGAGCUGGACCUGUACCUGGCUCUGCUUCCUAGCUGGCCUCUCCUCUGCUUCUCCGGGGAGGCCACAGUGGACUCCUGGAAUGAAUGUUGAGUCAGUCCUCAGAAGUCUGGAUAUUUCCUUUCCAGAGGCACAGUCCCCUGUGCAUACAGCUGUAGGUUCUCUGAAGAAGGGGACUGAGGCUCUUUCUACUGAAGACUCUUGAUCCUCUGUUGUAGGGGUUGUUCCUCGUAUAUACCUUCGGCCCAAGAAGUGCUCAGGUCUGAUGACUGGGCAGGUGAUUAUGGCUUCAUUAUUAGGCUACCUAGAGUCGCCUUCUAGGCCAUCCGCCCCUGAUUCUUUUCAAGUGCACAAAUUAAGCAAUUCUCCUGUUGAGUGCCCAGUGGAAUGUAGGGCCACUAUGUUCAUUACACUACCUUCCCAGCUCUGUGGAUUGGCCUCUCCUGGCUGCCACUUGACCCUGUUGCAAUAAUUAUGGGAGGAGCCCUUCAUCAGCCUUUAGUGACAGUUUCCAAAACAGUGUCCUAAGCUAAUUUCUUUCUUUUUU